GGAUCAAUUUGUUGGUCGUGCCUCGGUACGUACUGGCAUUAUUGGUUUCUACCUUCUGAAGAACCUUGAUGUCAUUAAUUUGGUGUCUUGGGGAAUCAGGACUGUUACUUUGAAAAAAUUAGAGUGUUUAAAGCAGGCAUACGCUUGAAUACAUUAGCAUGGAAUAAUGAAAUAGGACGUUUGAUUCUAUUUUGUUGGUUUCUAGGAUCGACGUAAU
This 217-nucleotide ribosomal RNA is filed under the name Dominikia gansuensis. RNAcentral's name for it is "partial small subunit ribosomal RNA". The stretch from base 46 to 217 matches the Rfam family "Eukaryotic small subunit ribosomal RNA", at positions 693 to 866 of the family's 1831-position model. Lineage: Eukaryota; Fungi; Glomeromycota; Glomeromycetes; Glomerales; Glomeraceae. The record is from RNAcentral.